GGCCGUAAACGAUGAACACUAGGUGUCGGGGGAAUCGACCCCUCCGGUGUCGUAGCCAACGCGUUAAGUGUUCCGCCUGGGGAGUACGCACGCAAGUGUGAAACUCAAAGGAAUUGACGGGGGCCCGCACAAGCGGUGGAGUAUGUGGUUUAAUUCGAUGCAACGCGAAGAACCUUACCAGGAUUUGACAUCCUGCGAAUCUCUUGGAAACUUGAGAGUGCCUUCGGGAACGCAGUGACAGGUGGUGCAUGGCUGUCGUCAGCUCGUGUCGUGAGAUGUUGGGUUAAGUCCCGCAACGAGCGCAACCCACGUCUUUAGUUGCCAGCAUUUAGUUGGGCACUCUAGAGAGACCGCCGGUGAUAAACCGGAGGAAGGUGUGGAUGACGUCAAGUCAUCAUGCCCCUUACAUCCUGGGCUACACACGUACUACAAUGCUACGGACAAAGGGCAGCAAGUUCGCGAGGACAAGCAAAUCCCAUAAACCGUAGCUCAGUUCAGAUCGUAGGCUGCAACUCGCCUACGUGAAGGAGGAAUCGCUAGUAAUCGCAGGUCAGCAUACUGCGGUGAAUACGUUCCCGGGCCUUGUACACACCGCCCGUCACACCAUGGAAGUUGGCCAUGCCCGAAGCCGUUACUCCAACCCUUGUGGAGGAGGACGUCGAAGGUGGGGCUGAUGACUGGGGUGAAGUCGUAACAAGGUAACCGUA
This 707-nucleotide ribosomal RNA is filed under the name uncultured bacterium. RNAcentral describes it as "bacterial SSU rRNA". It matches the Rfam family "Bacterial small subunit ribosomal RNA", at positions 798 to 1504 of the family's 1533-position model. The record is from RNAcentral.